Molecule: ribosomal RNA, 110 nt
Filed under: Castor canadensis (American beaver)
Lineage: Eukaryota; Metazoa; Chordata; Mammalia; Rodentia; Castoridae
Source: RNAcentral
GUCUAUGGCCAUACUACUCUGAAUCCACCCAAUCUUGUCUGAUUUCAGAAGCUAAGCAGCCUCAGGCUUGGUUAGUACUUGGAUGGGAAAACACCUAGGUUCUUUAGCUU